Molecule: ribosomal RNA, 600 nt
Filed under: uncultured bacterium
Lineage: Bacteria
Description: bacterial SSU rRNA
Rfam family: Bacterial small subunit ribosomal RNA
Source: RNAcentral
UUGGGAGCUUGCUCCCAAAGGUUAGCGGCGGACGGGUGAGUAACACGUGGGCAACCUGCCUAUAAGACUGGGAUAACUUCGGGAAACCGGAGCUAAUACCGGAUAAUUCAUAUCUACUCAUGUAGGUAUGCUGAAAGACGGUUUACGCUGUCACUUAUAGAUGGGCCCGCGGCGCAUUAGCUAGUUGGUGAGGUAACGGCUCACCAAGGCAACGAUGCGUAGCCGACCUGAGAGGGUGAUCGGCCACACUGGGACUGAGACACGGCCCAGACUCCUACGGGAGGCAGCAGUAGGGAAUCUUCCGCAAUGGACGAAAGUCUGACGGAGCAACGCCGCGUGAGUGAUGAAGGUUUUCGGAUCGUAAAACUCUGUUGUUAGGGAAGAACAAGUACUAGAGUAACUGCUAGUACCUUGACGGUACCUAACCAGAAAGCCACGGCUAACUACGUGCCAGCAGCCGCGGUAAUACGUAGGUGGCAAGCGUUGUCCGGAAUUAUUGGGCGUAAAGCGCGCGCAGGCGGUCCUUUAAGUCUGAUGUGAAAGCCCACGGCUCAACCGUGGAGGGUCAUUGGAAACUGGGGGACUUGAGUACAGAAGAGA